This 460-nucleotide ribosomal RNA is filed under the name uncultured bacterium. Its description in RNAcentral is "partial 16S ribosomal RNA". It matches the Rfam family "Bacterial small subunit ribosomal RNA", at positions 338 to 795 of the family's 1533-position model. The record is from RNAcentral.
CCUACGGGAGGCAGCAGUGAGGAAUAUUGGUCAAUGGGCGCGAGCCUGAACCAGCCAAGUAGCGUGAAGGAUGACUGCCCUACGGGUUGUAAACUUCUUUUAUAAAGGAAUAAAGUGAGGCACGUGUGCCCUUUUGUAUGUACCUUAUGAAUAAGGAUCGGCGAACUCCGUGCCAGCAGCCGCGGUAAUACGGAGGAUCCGAGCGUUAUCCGGAUUUAUUGGGUUUAAAGGGAGCGUAGGCGGGUUUGUAAGUCAGUUGUGAAAGGCCGGGGCUCAACCGUAGAACUGCCAUUGAUACUGUGUAUCUAGAGUACAGGAGAGGAUAGCGGAAUGCGCGGUGUAGAGGUGAAAUUCGUAGAUAUUAGGUAGAACACCGGUGGCGAAGGCAGCUAUCUGGCCAUUAACUGACGCUGAGGCUCGAAAGCGUGGGUAUCAAACAGGAUUAGAUACCCCUGUAGUC